AUGCACAGUGUUUCCCAAAAGCCCUGUAUCCUUGGGAGCAACCAAGAUGUAAUCGGUCAGAGAAAUGGUUUCUUCCUGGAUCCAUGUGAGUUAAACUGUUGUGGGACUGGAGACACUCGCGCCUGCAGAGUUGUGGUGACAAGCAAGCCCUCCUCUUUGCUCCCUGUCUGAAGUCUGCAUAUUCCAUGAAUCCUUGAGGGAGCCUGAUUCUUAUAAGGCAGGGGUCACUAAAGGAACCACAACAGUGUCUCCCUUGGAGAAAAGGAAAGGAAAUCACCACCGUUUAAGAACGCCACAGAAUUCAUUCCCUUCAGAUACUGUCCGUGUGUGAGUUACACGUGCCAACUGCCAGGUAUUAGUUGUUUUUCCAGGCCCCAUUAAGGACUCUUCAUCCUGUCCAGCAAGAGGCAUUAAAGCUUUCACGAGUUAAAGUUGUUCCCAGCUCGGUGUUAUUCAAAGGCAAUUUACACUAAUUAUUCGAGUCCACAGCGUUACCCAUAUUAGCAGAACGAACCAUCUCAGCAGGAAGCUUCAAUAGCGACCCCUCCUGGCGACCCAAGCAGCUUACAUGGCGCUCUACAAGCAUUCUUAUACAGUUGUAUACGCUCAUGCUCUGCCCUCCAGCCGCUCAAACGAUGAAGGUUAUCAAGGUGAAAAACAUCUAUUGAGAUGGAUGGAGAGGAGAGUGGGGCCCACCAGGAAGUGAGGUCGCAACUGACCAAACAAGCACGGUAAAAUAUUCACAAAGAUAAAUUAAAAAAAAAAAUCACAAAGCAUGGGGAAAGAGAACCGAAGGUUGAAAAAUAGCAAAUGUAAAAAGACCCCACGGCACACAAUAACAUCACACAUUCUGGGACCUGGAAAUUAAGUGGAAUAUCCCAGCAGUCCACAGCUGUCCACCCUGACAAGAUAAUAAAGGGGAGGGAGGCUAGAGAUAACACAGAGACUUAUCUCCAUUCAUAUGUCCUGGAAAUAUCGUGGACCCUGCAUUUUUGAGGCCUCCAAACUCUUUGAUCACCUAUCCGCACACACCCCUCACAAAGGUUUGAUCAUCACCUUCCUAUCUAGCUAUUAUGUGUUCCUCUGUUUCAAGCUAUGUAGUGCUACCCAGUAUUACUUGCUGUGCUCCCCAAAUGUUGGUUCUAAUAUUUCUCCCAUGCCAACGGAAUGUUGACCAUGUCAAAUGCCACCAAGUUGAUGGGGUCCAAGGACAUCCCCGUAUACCAUUACUGUCCAUCUCUGCAAGACUUAUAUUCCUCCAUCUCCUCUUGCCACCAGAGGCCUGACCACUCUCUAAGGGUCCUGACCCAGUCAGAACAAAACCAAAUGAGGUCCAAAGCAAUUCCAGCCAGCGGGACAGCCUGUCCUGUAUGUCCUCUGCCCACAGGGAACCUGGGUCUGUAUCCCAGAAUAUCUCUUCCCGUCUCUUUUGAGUUGAAUGCAUUUGUGAACCACUGCCAAGAUCCCCAAGAGUAUCCAUAAAUUCUAGAACCUAGAAUAUAGCUAGAUAUACAACAAGUCCCUAUGGGUUAACAUGUAGGUCAAUUAACAUAUGAUAUAACCAAAAUGAAUUCUGGUAGAAAUAAAAAUGUGAAAGUUAAAAUAAAGUCAGAAUCUAAUUAG
RNAcentral lists this long non-coding RNA (1623 nucleotides) under Mus musculus (house mouse). RNAcentral describes it as "RIKEN cDNA E330013P04 gene". Lineage: Eukaryota; Metazoa; Chordata; Mammalia; Rodentia; Muridae. The record is from RNAcentral.